AUUGAACGCUGGCGGAAUGCUUUACACAUGCAAGUCGAACGGCAGCACGGACUUCGGUCUGGUGGCGAGUGGCGAACGGGUGAGUAAUGUAUCGGAACGCGCCCAGUCGUGGGGGAUAACGUAGUGAAAAUUACGCUAAUACCGCAUACGAUCUAUGGAUGAAAGCGGGGGAUCGCAAGACCUCGCGCGAUUGGAGCGGCCGAUAUCAGAUUAGGUAGUUGGUGGGGUAAAGGCCCACCAAGCCAACGAUCUGUAGCUGGUCUGAGAGGACGACAAGCCGCAUUGGACUGAGACAAGGGUCAAGACUCCUACGGCAGCAAGAGGUGGGAAUUUUUGACCAAGGGGCGAAGGCCUGAUCCGGCCAUUCCGCGUGCGGGGUGAGGCCCCUCGGUUUGAAAACUGCUUUUGUACAGAACAAAAAGGUUUCAACUAAUACUAGGGGCUCAUGCGGUUACUGAAAGAAUAAGCCCCGGAUAACUACGUGCCAGCAGCCGCAGUAA
Molecule: ribosomal RNA, 500 nt
Filed under: uncultured bacterium
Lineage: Bacteria
Description: partial 16S ribosomal RNA
Rfam family: Bacterial small subunit ribosomal RNA
Source: RNAcentral